Molecule: ribosomal RNA, 498 nt
Filed under: uncultured bacterium
Lineage: Bacteria
Description: bacterial SSU rRNA
Rfam family: Bacterial small subunit ribosomal RNA
Source: RNAcentral
AUCAUGGCUCAGAUUGAACGCUGGCGGCAUGCCUUACACAUGCAAGUCGAACGGCAGCGGGGCCUUCGGGGUGCCGGCGAGUGGCGAACGGGUGAGUAAUGCAUCGGAACGUGCCAUUGAGUGGGGGAUAACGUAGCGAAAGUUGCGCUAAUACCGCAUAUUCUGUGAGCAGGAAAGCAGGGGACCGCAAGGCCUUGCGCUCUUUGAGCGGCCGAUGUCAGAUUAGCUAGUUGGUGAGGUAACGGCUUACCAAGGCGACGAUCUGUAGCGGGUCUGAGAGGAUGAUCCGCCACACUGGAACUGAGACACGGGUCCAGACUCCUACGGGAGGCAGCAGUGGGGAAUUUUGGACAAUGGGCGCAAGCCUGAUCCAGCCAUGCCGCGUGAGUGAAGAAAGGCCUUCGGGUUGUAAAGCUCUUUCGGCCGGGAAGAAAUCGCAUGGGUUAAUACCCUGUGUGGAUGACGGUACCGGAAUAAGAAGCACCGGCUAACUACGUG